Dromaius novaehollandiae (emu) is the source of this 6029-nucleotide long non-coding RNA. RefSeq lists it as uncharacterized. Lineage: Eukaryota; Metazoa; Chordata; Aves; Casuariiformes; Dromaiidae. The record is from RefSeq and is a predicted model, not a curated record. The transcript has 7 exons.
AACAUGAUCAGCCCGUAUCCCGGAGGGAAGAGCCUACCUCUCGGUGCAGCUGCUGGGCUUCUCUUGCCACCAGCAAUGAUUUUAAAGGGAAGGAAGCUUUGGCUGAGUGUUCUGCAUUUGCCCUGGAGCCAGGAUCCCCCCAUGACGGUGCGCGACUUGGCUUCUCCUGGGUCAGAGGUGGCUGACGGAGGCUGAUGGCACAUCCUUUUGGGUGCUUUCUUAUCACUUGAGAAAUUCAGGAACUGGCUCCUCCUGGGCUGUACCUGGGGUAAGAGGCUCAGAGGCUGUCCUGACAUCGCUGUGACCACAGUUUCACUAGCCUGAUGCAGUGCGUGCUUAUCAUCAUCUGAAAUUUCUGCUACUGGAAAGAGGGAAUCAUUCAGAAGACUUUGCUCUAGGGGGAUGCGUCGUUGCUGUAAACCUGCCAGCAAGUCAGAGCAGCGUCCCUCUGAGUCAAGUUCAUGGCUUGCCCCAGUGCCGCCUACCUCUCGAGCAUCCUGCUUAACCUCACAGCUGGCCGCCGCUACACAGCUGCCCAUCUCUGGAGCUGCUCAGCAAAACACACGCCAAGGAAAGCUGUGGGUUUCUGUCAGCUGGCGCGCCUACCACUGCGUCCUGGAGAGCCUGGAAGCACCCGGGCCUGGAGAGCAGAGGGAAGCCCCGUGCCCGCGGCACCACCCGCCCUCUGAUGUGCUCUGAGCUGUUUGGGGCCUCCAAGUGAUAGAUCUUCCCCGAGUCUUGCAGGCGUUUGCCAUUACAGUGCACGGAAGGCCAGUGCUGGCAUCUAUCCUGAGCUGAUGGGAGUCGCGGAGAUGUAAUGACGCUGUUGACACCGGGCGCUGGAUGUACGGAGCAGCUCGCCUCUGCAGGCUUUUGCCUCGGAACCUUUUGCUUUAGGUUCUAAUCAGCAAAAAUGGGUGACUAAAUAUAGUUACUACUGAUUGUCUGGCACUCUGAAGCAGUUGUUAAGGACAGGAGUAAAGCCUGUCAAGCAGUGGAGAGCGAGAAUCCAGCGACCCUCCCCAAGGGAUGCUGUGUUUAAGUUCCUGGGAAAGACACAGGGAUGCUGAAUGAGGCCAGAUUUUUGGCUUUCUGGACAUCAACCACACUGCCCGUCCUCUGCAGCCCCCUCCCGGGUCCCUGCGUUGCUGCCCCUGCCUCCGGCCGACGACGCAGGUCUGUAUUUGGGCACGAGGCAAAUCCCUCCCUUUCCCGCCCAGGGCCAUGUCCCAGGUCCGCCUGACAUCUCUGCCUGUCCGUACCCCUGUCAAGUGUCACCUCCGAAAUACAGAGACAUUCAAGGAUGGAGGGCCUUGUCCAGGCACGGGGAAGCGUGCCCAGCUGCGAACGCUGUGCUUCUGCCCAGCUCCCCCGCGCCGUCCGCAGCCUCGGCAGCGCCCUGGCCCCGCGCCCUCUUCCCUCCCGCUUCGCACCCUGCGAGGCAGCUCCCGGCUGAGCCGCCCUGCAACGCUUUGCUGCACGCGGCGGUGUUUUGUUUGCAGGCAGUUAGCAGGGGUUUUGUUCUGACCUGAAAUGCCUUUGCUGGCUCUUGCCUUCCGGAGAAACCACUGGAGACUGGAUGUUUUAUCAGAAAAAGCCUAGAGGGAACUGCGCCGGUUUGUAGUGACCGUAAGAGCUCACAACUCCCAUCUGGAAGUUCCCCAUGUCUUUGCACACAAUUUCCAGAAGUAUGUGUGUGUGUGUGACCUCCACGCAAGCCCCAACACAGCGUUUCUGGGGUGGAAAGCAGCAUUUGCGAACCCGGCCAUCUGGAGCAGUCCUCCUCUCCUCCCCACUUCAUCAAUUCUCCAGCUGUUUUCUGAUCUCAUCUGGAAGAAAAUCUCUCUUCUGCCUCCCCAGCCUGUCCCAUUGAUUUAUCUCUGCCUCAGUUCUUCUCCAUAGGUGCCUGUCCAUAAGAGGGGAUGCUUUAAUGUAUUCAUCACAUGGGACUUUAGUGCCAUUUCCUCCAGUAAUUUAUACCCUACUUCCACUGCUGACCCGCGUUAUUUGGCUCUUCAAAGCGUUUUAGGCAACAGCCAGUGGGGAAGGCACUCUCCAGAAGAGCCGUCUGACCCUGUGUCGUCGCCGGUGCUCAGUGGGGUUUGCAGCGGGCCUUGGGCUCCCUCGGUCUGUCAGGCUCCGGAGGGAGGCAGGUCACUCCUUGCUCCUGGAGCCGUCUCGCACCCCAACGCCUGGUUCUUGCCCCUGCGAUGUGUCACCUUGCAGGGCGCUGCCAGUGCCUGGGAGCUCCCCAAGGAUGAACUUGCCCGUUUUCCGGGCCAUGCAUGCUUGCUACGGGCAGGCUUUGCUCAGAGCACCGGGGUGCAAGCCGGGAGACGUCUCCUCGAGCGGAGCAGGAGGAGCAGCGGCCCUUUGAGGCCAGUGCAGGGAUCAGCCUUCAGGGCACGUUGCAGCUGCUGAAUUCUAGGGAGAGGAACAAAAAUUUGUAAAAGGACGAUAUUCUGCCAGUCCUUUGCUCGGCCUGAGUCAAUUAAUGCCCGUGAGAUGCCGGGAGAGCCCAGCGCGCGCUCUGCAGGGGCAGGAAAGGAAAAGGCUGCCGGGGCGCCAGCUGCGAGGUGGGUCCCACCCUGGGGCCACGCGGGAUGCCGCCAGCCACCGAGGAGGCAAAGGAGAGGCAAGAACAAAUGAAGUCUGGUUUGGGGUUUCUUGGCUCGAGAGACAGGGAUCAGCCCGAUAAUGAGGCGGCACGCUCUGAGGGCAGAGGAAGAGCUGAGGACAUGGUAGCUGCUCAUUAGCAGCUAGAGACGUGUUAGCUCCCGACACCAGCCUCUGGCGCUUGCUCCGGCCGGUUCAGAGGGAGCCUUUGAACGUCCCCGAGAAGGAGGGCUUGCGCCCUGCUCCCCGCUGCGGCUGCUCCUCAGCAAGCAGAGCAGCAGCUCUGAAGCUGUUCUGCUAAAGGCUUGAGAAAUUAAUUUUGCCUGUCAGAGAUUCAAAUGCACGGGUGUGAACUGAGGUUCAGCAAGGUAAGCUAACCCACCUGGCUGCUCUCCAGCUCCAGCAACGUUGCUCACAACGGGGAAGGGAAGACCAGCAAGUACCUGCCUGUGUAAGCUGGGCUUGUCUUCCGCAUAAAACAUGCCCUUAAUUAAUAGCAAGGAUGAACCUGAGUCACUAUCUCUGUUAUCAAUUUGUGGAUGUGGUUGGAUUGUCUGUCUCCCAGGACAGUAAUAUCCCUUCAUCUUAUUGCAAAUUGCUUGCAGCAUCCUUCUAUUACACAGGCUUAAUGCUUGAAAAAUAGAGAUUUAAUACUCCACCAUAUCAGACUAAGUGAGGUCAAAGCAAUUCAUAUUCACAAUCCCACAAAGCUCCCUGAUAAUGUUUCCUGUGUGAAAUAUGGAUGUGGUGGUAAUAAACUGGGGAGUCCUUGCCCUCCGCUUCGAACGGUCCCACAACAGCGAAUGGCGCGAUGGAGCCCUUGGAGCCGGAGCGUUCGGCUCGUUUCCGAAGGACGGCAGGUGGUUCUGGGGCACGGAGGGUGGAGGGAUGGGGUGUGUGUGUGGGGGGGGACGUGGCCCUGCCCCACCACUGUCCCCAGACGCCUCUGUUGCCUUCCCACCCUGGCAGCUCCUGCUCCCUUCCUGGCCUUAAGAGGCUCCCGCUAAGGGAACUUGUCUUUGACCCUGGGAAAGGGCACCUCCUCUUUAGUGGGAAAUGCAGGAAAGGUUUAUAUCCCCAUCUGCAGGACCUGCAGGAAUGCCCAAAAGCCUUUAAGAAAGAGAGACCAAAGAUGGUCUACACCGUAGAUAGUCAAAGACUAUACUUUGCUUGGACACUGAAGAAAUGAGACUUUUUGGUAUGUUGGAAGUAAUGGGACUCUGUAAUAGGGCUGCCACGAGAAGAGCAGCUCUGAACAUCUGCAGGAUGCCCGGUGGGGUCUGGCUGUCCCUGCUCCAGCUGCAGAGGAACACGUCCCGUGGGGAAGCGCUGGGGCUGUGCCGUUGGCCCAGCCAUGCCGAGGCAGGCUGCCUUUCUGCUUGCUGCCUUUUGCACAGACAGUGCUUGUCACCAGCGCCGUCAUUAAAAGAUUACAGGUCACAAAAAGGAUUAUUUCUGAAUUUGCAGAAUUCUUAGAAUGCAGCUACUGGACUAAAAUUAACUGGUUCAUUUAUAGUCCUCAUGCGAGGUCUAUAAAAAUACCUUGAUUACAGAAGGAGGGCUGGCUGCAGAGAGCGGCCGAGGUUUUCCCUGCUGGGAGCAAUCUACCGGUGGCAGCAGGUCACGUCGACGUGCCUGUGCAUCGCACCUCUGCAGCAAGCGUUCCCGGGAAGGGAGCCGUCAGGAGCGCGCGGCCUCCUCCGUGGCACGCGACACGCUGAUGAGAGCUGAUGGGUGGCUAAUUGCCCAGCGAGGCCGGCGUGAUGGAGCCGUUCUCGGAGCACCUCAGCUGCGAGGUCAGCAGUGACGCAGACGGCAUAAUUUUUCAUAGCGUGCUCCUUGUAUCCUGCAACUCCUGCUGUAAUGGACUAGCAAAUUACCACAGUAUUUAAAAAGUAGCAAUUUAUAACAUUUUGAUAACCACAUGCUCCUGAGGCUCUAUCAUCUGCGCCUGCAGAGAGAGUGCAUGGGAGGGAUCUCCUGCCCACGGCCUGGACACAUGCGCGUAGCAGCACACGCGUGCGCCCUGCUCGCCUGCCCCUCCGCGCACAUCCGCGGCUCGUCCAGCCGGAUCCUGGAAAACCCCCUCCCUCUCCAGCAUGGGCUCACUGCUCCCAUUCCUGUUCAUCUGAGUGUAUUUCUGACUCGGGGAAGUGGCUGAUGAAGCUGAGAACCUGUGUUACGUGCCAAGCAACCCGGAUGGCUGCCUGGGCUGGAGGCUGCGAGCAGCACGUGCUGACACGGCCAAGUCUGAAGUCCUACGUCUAGGAGCAGACGGCGGAGGCCAGUUCUCCACCCGGGGGACUAGGAACAGGGGUCCUGCUCUGAGAAGGACGCUAGGGCUAGGUAGCUCAUUCACACUUGCCAUUUUGGGGUAUUUUCCAGACAUGCUACCAACACCCAUUUCUUUCUUACCAGAUGCAGAGAAGAAGGCAGCUUCUCACAGGCUGAGAGGGGGAUGCAGACGUGGUGUUUUCACGUCACUGGCAGGGCCGCAGAGCCCUCCCGGCCUCCCCUUGCCCUGGCUCAGCUCCCUGGAGCCCACGUGGCCAGUGAACUCCAGUUACUCUGGUGUAACUCCAGUUCGCCAGCCGGGUGCCCGGCAGGUCUCACGUGUGCGCUGUCUCUCAUCACAUGGGCGUUGCUUUAGUGCCCGGGAGCUGUCAGGAUCGUUGCUGUGAUCACGACAAAGUGGCAGGGCUCGUGGAGCCGUUGCGGCCCUAUUUACAAAGCCCCAGGUCAGCGGGCAGUUUUUUCCAGACCUUCUCCUUCUCCGUCCCACGUGCCCUGCCGCGGGUCUGCGCGCUGCCCGCGAGUGCGCUCGCACCGUGACGCGCACAUCUCGCGCUCUGCUUUAAGUGCGCGCCGCCCCGCAGCAGGCACGUCGCUUGGUCCGUGGGAGACACUGUUUCUGCUUCCUUUAAAGAAGGAAUCUGAAGAAUUCAGCGCAAGAAGAAUUUGCAUAGAGACAUUCAUCCCUUUCCAGUAAAUAAAACCUCACCCCUAGCUCACGGCAGCCGAUCGGCUCUUCCCAGCAGAGUGGGCCGGGAGCUGGGAGGUGCAGGAGCCGGAGGAAGCUGGUGACCGUCCUGGACUUGAUGGACAUGUCUUCUGGAGACGUGGAUGCUGCAGACUGUGCAAGCCUGUAGCAACGCACACUCUCCAAGAGCAGGCGUGUGCUUGCCCACUUGGCGUGCUUUGACCACGCGUGUGCGGGUAAAUCCAUGCCUCUGUGCUUCAGUACACAGCUUGCCGCAAAUGUGCGUGUGAGUGCAUGUGUUUGAUAGCAAACUAUUCCUGCUAGUACCUCAACAACGCUUUUUAUUAACUGCUUUCCCUCUAGAGUGAUGUAACCCUGCUCCAUGCAAUAAAGAUGGGUCCAAUUAAUCAGAUGGAUAAAAGUGGUUAAUGCA